GGGCCUCUUUCGGGGUCCGAGUUGUAAUUUGUAGAGGGUGUUUCGGGUGAGGCGCCGGCCUAAGUUCCUUGGAACAGGGCGUCAUAGAGGGUGAGAAUCCCGUAUGCGGCCGGUGACCGACCCCGUGUGAAACCCCUUCGACGAGUCGGGUUGUUUGGGAAUGCAGCUCUAAAUGGGUGGUAAAUUUCAUCUAAAGCUAAAUACCGGCCAGAGACCGAUAGCGCACAAGUAGAGUGAUCGAAAGAUGAAAAGCACUUUGGAAAGAGAGUUAAAAAGUACGUGAAAUUGUUGAAAGGGAAGCGCUUGCAACCAGACCUGUGUCCGGGUGAUCAGCCGCCGUUCUCGGCGGUGUACUCGUCCGGUACAGGCCAGCAUCGGUUCGGGCGGUCGGAUAAAGGCCUUGGGAACGUAGCUCCCUUCGGGGAGUGUUAUAGCCCUCGGUGCAAUGCGGCCAGCCUGGACCGAGGACCGCGCUUCGGCUAGGAUGCUGGCGUAAUGGUUGUAAGCGGCCCGUCUUGAAACACGGACCAAGGAGUCUAACAUCUAUGCGAGUGUUUGGGUGUCAAACCCAUGCGCGGAAUGAAAGUGAACGGAGGUGAGAACCCUUAAGGGCGCAUCAUCGACCGAUCCAGAUGUCUUCGGAUGGAUUUGAGUAAGAGCAUAGCUGUUGGGACCCGAAAGAUGGUGAACUAUGCCUGAAUAGGGUGAAGCCAGAGGAAACUCUGGUGGAGGCUCGCAGCGGUUCUGACGUGCAAAUCGAUCGUCAAAUUUGGGUAUAGGGGCGAAAGACUAAUCGAACCAUUGACGCCACUAGGUGGUUAAUCGGGGCUCCCGACUCCAGUUUGUGGCCCUCAGUCCUUCGGGGCAACGCCGUUACUUGCAUGGAUUUCUGGGCGAUGCCAGACCAACAUGCUGCAGGAUCGAGUCCCUAGGCUCCCCUGUACACAGGUCAGAUAACGGUGGCUGCGGGCGCUCUGCUGCGUCUCGCGGUUUAGAUAUGAUCGAGUCUUUCUCGUAUCCNAGAUGGCUUCGGAGGCCUGUUUACCCGGCUCUGCCCGUCCGGGCGUCGCUUGUUCA
RNAcentral lists this ribosomal RNA (1077 nucleotides) under Thelomma mammosum. Its description in RNAcentral is "eukaryotic LSU rRNA". It matches the Rfam family "Eukaryotic large subunit ribosomal RNA", at positions 123 to 1446 of the family's 3401-position model. The record is from RNAcentral. Lineage: Eukaryota; Fungi; Ascomycota; Lecanoromycetes; Caliciales; Caliciaceae.